GACGAACGCUGGCGGCGUGCUUAACACAUGCAAGUCGAACGGAAAGGCCCUGCUUUUGUGGGGUGCUCGAGUGGCGAACGGGUGAGUAACACGUGAGUAACCUGCCCUUGACUUUGGGAUAACUUCAGGAAACUGGGGCUAAUACCGGAUAGGAGCUCCUGCUGCAUGGUGGGGGUUGGAAAGUUUCGGCGGUUGGGGAUGGACUCGCGGCUUAUCAGCUUGUUGGUGGGGUAGUGGCUUACCAAGGCUUUGACGGGUAGCCGGCCUGAGAGGGUGACCGGCCCAAUGGGGAGUGGGAUACGGCCCAGACGCCUACGGGGGGCAGCAGGGGGGAAUUUUGCACAAGGGGCGGAAGCCUGAGGCAGAAACGCCGGGUGCGGGAUGACGGCCUUCGGGUUGUAAACCCCUUUCGCCUGGGACGAAGGGUGAGUGGCGGUAAUGGGUAAAGAAGCACCGGCUACCUACGU
RNAcentral lists this ribosomal RNA (467 nucleotides) under uncultured bacterium. RNAcentral's name for it is "partial 16S ribosomal RNA". It matches the Rfam family "Bacterial small subunit ribosomal RNA", at positions 28 to 506 of the family's 1533-position model. The record is from RNAcentral.